RNAcentral lists this ribosomal RNA (385 nucleotides) under uncultured Ehrlichia sp. RNAcentral describes it as "bacterial SSU rRNA". It matches the Rfam family "Bacterial small subunit ribosomal RNA", at positions 62 to 477 of the family's 1533-position model. Lineage: Bacteria; Pseudomonadati; Pseudomonadota; Alphaproteobacteria; Rickettsiales; Anaplasmataceae. The record is from RNAcentral.
UUCAAUUAUUUAUAGCCUCUGGCUAUAGGAAAUUGUUAGUGGCAGACGGGUGAGUAAUGCGUAGGAAUCUACCUAGUAGUACGGAAUAGCCAUUAGAAAUGGUGGGUAAUACUGUAUAAUCCCCGAGGGGGAAAGAUUUAUCGCUAUUAGAUGAGCCUACGUUAGAUUAGCUAGUUGGUGAGGUAAUGGCUUACCAAGGCUAUGAUCUAUAGCUGGUCUGAGAGGACGAUCAGCCACACUGGAACUGAGAUACGGUCCAGACUCCUACGGGAGGCAGCAGUGGGGAAUAUUGGACAAUGGGCGAAAGCCUGAUCCAGCUAUGCCGCGUGAGUGAAGAAGGCCUUCGGGUUGUAAAACUCUUUCAAUAGGGAAGAUAAUGACGGUA